RNAcentral lists this transfer RNA (79 nucleotides) under compost metagenome. RNAcentral's name for it is "tRNA-Ala". The record is from RNAcentral.
GCGGGCUCUGGCGCGGGUUCGGGCGCAGGCGGUGGCGCCGCUUGCGCGGUAGUCGUCGUGCCAGCCGGAAGGUCUUCCC